AGAGUUGAGUGGUUAAAAGCAGUUGUUGCUCCUGCAGGGGAUCCAGCUUUAGUGUUCAGCACCAGCAUGAUGCAGCGUCACAGCCAUCCGUAAUUCCAGUUCCAGGAGACCCAGUACUCUGUUCUGACAUCUGUGGACACUAGGCACACAUGCGGUCCACAGACACAUGAAGUAAAGCACUCAUAGACAUAAAGUAAAAUGUAAAGGCUUAGGAAAGGUUACAGAAACAGUUGAUACUUUGGAUAUUUUGAGGCCGUGUCUCACUGCAUUGCCCUGGGUAACAGCAGACUCUCGCAUCUCUGCUUCGUCUUACCCAGUACUAAAUAUAAAUAUAGUGGGUACUGGUAAUUGAACCAGGGUUUCCUGGAAGAGCAGCCAGUGUUAAGUUGCUAAGGAACUACCUCUACUUUGUUGUAAGACUGAAUGUUGAAAGAACUCACUAUAGAGCCUUAAUGCUGUAUUCAUUAUCCUGUGUCUAUAGAGGGAAGCCAAGGCAGGAACUGGUCGAUGCAGAGGCCAUGGAGAAAGUCUGCUUUCUGGCUUGUAUCCCACGGCUUGCUCAGCCUGCUUUCUUAUACAGCUAAGGACCACCUGCCCAGGGGCGAUACCACCCCAGCCCAACACCCACAUCCAUCAGUAGUCAAGGCGAUGCUGGAAAACCUUGUCCACAGAGCAGUGUGGCCUCGCCCGUGCCAAGCUGACAUAAGAGUCAGCACAGUGAGAUGUGACAGUCUCAUUAUCAGUUGCAUUUCCAUGAACAAGCAAACAAAAAUGAACAAUGAUAAAAAAGUAUUCAAAAACUGCUCAGAAAUAAACUCUAGAGGCAGAGAGAGGCAAGAGGAUUCCUGCGUUUGAGGCUAGCUCAGUCUGUAAAGCCCUUUAGGGAAUUUUUAAAAAACUCAGUAAGAAGAUUAACCUAAUUGAAAAAUAGCCAAAGUUAGCCGCAAAUGUAUACUCAGGCUGAAGGAGAAGGGUUACCAAAGCCCGGAGUUUGAGGCCCACUGGACAACUACCUGUUGGAGAGGAGACCCUGACAGUUAAUGAACUGCUGUGAGCAUCAAACCCACGGUGAGACCUCACACCAGCAUAGGGGAACAGCGUCUGAGCAACAGAGAACAAGACCUGGAAGGCUGGGAAGAAGGGAAAUGCCACACACGCUGCUAACUCACUGAGCAGCGCAUCUGCUCAUAGGAAAAGCUAAGUGCCGGUCUCGUAGCUAACCACAGUUCCGGUCUAAGAGCAAGAAACAAAUACUCAGUGUAGGCAAGCACAGCACUGCUCACACCAGUGUCCCCCAUCAGGACCUACAGGUCAGACUUAGCACAUCCGUGCAAUGGGUAAUUUUCAAGCACUGGCUGCAGAGUCUGAAACAUGCACGUAAGUGAGAGGAGUCAGAGGAGGGUGGCAUAGUGUAUGAUUACGUUUUAUUAAAGGUCCAGGUAGUCAACAGAAAAGCAAGAUGGGAGCAAUGGGAGCCUGGGAAGGCAAAGGAGUGGGGGAAACCACCAAGCAGAGUAUUACAAACUGGUGUGGUAGGCGUGUUGAUUGCGUGGUAGGUUGCUUUUCUGUGGUGGGCAUGUUACUACUGAGCUCUCCUCCUAGUCCAGCGUCUUCCCUCCCCCUUUGCUGACAUUCUGUUUGCCUGCUUGAGGUUACUGUAGUGAUGACAGACAGGUGUGCCUCUCACUGUGUAAACUAGGCUUCUGCCUUUCAAGUGCCACCAUGUCCAAUCCAGUUAUUCCAGCCAGCCAUGGUUACCUAGGCCUUUAAUCCCAGUACUCAGCAGGCAGAGAGAUGUGUGGAUCUCAGUGAGUUCAAGUCCAGCCUAGUGCAAAUAGAACUCCAGGCUAACCCAGGCUAACCCAGGCUGCACGACAAGACCAAAGUUUAAUUUAAUAAGUGAAAUUCAUCUAAAUUUAUUAAAAAGGAUACGAUCUUGCCUUCUACAAAAGUAGUUUUGUGGCUAGAGGUGGAGAUGCAUAUCUUUUAUCACUAGGCUCUAGUGAGGCAGAGGCAGAGGCAAAGGCAGGUAGAUCUCUGAGUUUGAGGCUGGCCUAGUCUAACAAAGUGAGUUCAGGACAGCCAGGGCUCUGUUACACAAAGAAAUCCCGUCUCAGGAAAAAAACUAACGAACCAACCAAAGAGUAGAUUUGUGAGUUUGAGGACAGAGAGACACCCUG
This 2180-nucleotide long non-coding RNA is filed under the name Mus musculus (house mouse). RNAcentral describes it as "long non-coding RNA chr4:41177453-41179633". The record is from RNAcentral. Lineage: Eukaryota; Metazoa; Chordata; Mammalia; Rodentia; Muridae.